AAUCGAUGAUACGCGAGGAACCUUACCAAGGCUUAAAUGGGAAUUGAUCGGUUUAGAAAUAGACCUUCCUUCGGGCAAUUUUCAAGGUGCUGCAUGGUUGUCGUCAGCUCGUGCCGUGAGGUGUUAGGUUAAGUCCUGCAACGAGCGCAACCCCUGUCACUAGUUGCUAGCAUUAAGUUGAGGACUCUAGUGAGACUGCCUACGCAAGUAGAGAGGAAGGUGGGGAUGACGUCAAAUCAUCACGGCCCUUACGCCUUGGGCCACACACGUAAUACAAUGGCCGGUACAGAGGGCAGCUACACAGCGAUGUGAUGCAAAUCUCGAAAGCCGGUCUCAGUUCGGAUUGGAGUCUGCAACUCGACUCUAUGAAGCUGGAAUCGCUAGUAAUCGCGCAUCAGCCAUGGCGCGGUGAAUACGUUCCCGGGCCUUGUACACACCGCCCGUCAAGCCAUGGAAGUCUGGGGUACCUGAAGUCGGUGACCGUAAAAGGAGCUGCCUAGGGUAAAACAGGUAACUAGGGCUAAGUCGUAACAA
RNAcentral lists this ribosomal RNA (534 nucleotides) under Flavobacterium sp. 30-I8. Its description in RNAcentral is "bacterial SSU rRNA". It matches the Rfam family "Bacterial small subunit ribosomal RNA", at positions 949 to 1494 of the family's 1533-position model. Lineage: Bacteria; Pseudomonadati; Bacteroidota; Flavobacteriia; Flavobacteriales; Flavobacteriaceae. The record is from RNAcentral.